Molecule: ribosomal RNA, 503 nt
Filed under: uncultured bacterium
Lineage: Bacteria
Description: partial 16S ribosomal RNA
Rfam family: Bacterial small subunit ribosomal RNA
Source: RNAcentral
AUUGAACGCUGGCGGCAUGCCUUACACAUGCAAGUCGAACGGCAGCACGGGAGCUUGCUCCUGGUGGCGAGUGGCGAACGGGUGAGUAAUACAUCGGAACGUACCCAGUAGUGGGGGAUAACGCACCGAAAGGUGCGCUAAUACCGCAUACGACCUACGGGUGAAAGCGGGGGACCGUAAGGCCUCGCGCUAUUGGAGCGGCCGAUGUCUGAUUAGCUAGUUGGCGGGGUAAUAUCCCACCAAGGCGACGAUCAGUAGCUGGUCUGGGAGGACGGUCAGCCACACUGGGACUGAGACACGGACCAGACUCCUACGGGAGGCAGUAGUGGGGAAUUUUGGACAAUGGGGGCAACCCUGAUCCAGCAAUGCCGCGUGUGCGAAGAAGGCCUUCGGGUUGUAAAGCACUUUUGUCAGGGAAGAAAUCUUUCAGGCUAAUACCCUUGGAAGGAUGACGGUACCUGAAGAAUGAGCACCGGCUAACUACGUGCCAGCCGCCGCAGUAA